UACGAAGGGGGCUAGCGUUGUUCGGAAUUACUGGGCGUAAAGCGCACGUAGGCGGGUUGUUAAGUCAGGGGUGAAAUCCUGGAGCUCAACUCCAGAACUGCCUUUGAUACUGGCAACCUAGAGACUGGAAGAGGUUAGUGGAAUUCCCAGUGUAGAGGUGAAAUUCGUAGAUAUUGGGAAGAACACCAGUGGCGAAGGCGGCUAACUGGUCCAGCACUGACGCUGAGGUGCGAAAGCGUGGGGAGCAGACAGG
Molecule: ribosomal RNA, 253 nt
Filed under: uncultured bacterium
Lineage: Bacteria
Description: partial 16S ribosomal RNA
Rfam family: Bacterial small subunit ribosomal RNA
Source: RNAcentral